This 487-nucleotide ribosomal RNA is filed under the name uncultured bacterium. RNAcentral's name for it is "bacterial SSU rRNA". It matches the Rfam family "Bacterial small subunit ribosomal RNA", at positions 36 to 507 of the family's 1533-position model. The record is from RNAcentral.
AACGACUGGCGGCAGGCUUAAUACAUGCAAGUCGAACGGUAACAUGUCGGAGCAAUCUGAUGAUGACGAGUGGCGCACGGGUGCGUAACGCGUAUGCAACCUACCCAAUUAACCGGAACAUAACGUUUAGAGAAAUCGGCGCUAAUAUUCCAUGUGUAUAUUUUGUGGCAUCAUAGAAUAUAUAAAGAUUAAUUGGUUAUGGAUGGGCAUGCGUAUCAUUAGCUAGUUGGUGGGGUAACGGCCUACCAAGGCUGCGAUGAUUAGGGGUUCUGAGAGGAUAACCCCCACACUGGAACUGAGACACGGUCCAGACUCCUACGGGAGGCAGCAGUAGGGAAUAUUGGGCAAUGGAGGCAACUCUGACCCAGCCAUGCCGCGUGAAAGGAAGACGGUCCUAUGGAUUGUAAACUUCUUUUAUCAUAGAGUAACCGCAGGGACGUGUCCCUGCCUGCAAGUAUAUGAUGAAUAAGCAUCGGCUAACUCCGUG